This 496-nucleotide ribosomal RNA is filed under the name uncultured bacterium. Its description in RNAcentral is "bacterial SSU rRNA". It matches the Rfam family "Bacterial small subunit ribosomal RNA", at positions 29 to 521 of the family's 1533-position model. The record is from RNAcentral.
AUUGAACGCUGGCGGCAUGCCUUACACAUGCAAGUCGAACGGUAACGCGGGGCAACCUGGCGACGAGUGGCGAACGGGUGAGUAAUGCAUCGGAACGUACCCAGUAGUGGGGGAUAGCCCGGCGAAAGCCGGAUUAAUACCGCAUACGACCUACGGGUGAAAGGGGGGGAUCGCAAGACCUCUCGCUAUUGGAGCGGCCGAUGUCAGAUUAGGUAGUUGGUGGGGUAAAAGCCUACCAAGCCUGUGAUCUGUAGCUGGUCUGAGAGGACGACCAGCCACACUGGGACUGAGACACGGCCCAGACUCCUACGGGAGGCAGCAGUGGGGAAUUUUGGACAAUGGGCGCAAGCCUGAUCCAGCAAUGCCGCGUGCGGGACGAAGGCCUUCGGUUGUAAACCGCUUUCAGCCGGAAGAAAUACGCCAAGGCUAAUAUCCUUGGUGGAUGACGGUACCGGAAGAAGAAGACACCGGCUAACUACGUGCCAGCAGCCGCGGU